AUACGGAGGACGCGAGCGUUAUCCGGAUUCAUUGGGUUUAAAGGGUGCGCAGGCGGCCGUGCAAGUCAGCGGUGAAAGCCCGGGGCUCAACCCCGGAAGUGCCGUUGAUACUGCAUGGCUGGAAUGCGGUCGAGGCGGGCGGAACGUGGCGGGGAGCGGUGAAAUGCGUAGAUAUGCCACAGAAAGCCGAUAGCGGAGGCAGCUCGCCAGGCCUGCAUUGACGCUUGGGCACGAAAGCGUGGGGAUCGAACAGGAUUAGAUACCCUGGUAGUCCACGCCGUAAACGAUGGGCGCUCGUCGUCGGCGGCAGACAGUCGGCGGCCAAGCGAAAGCGAUAAGCGCCCCACCUGGGGAGUACGGUCGCAAGGCUGAAACUCAAAUGAAUUGACGGGG
RNAcentral lists this ribosomal RNA (393 nucleotides) under uncultured bacterium. RNAcentral's name for it is "partial 16S ribosomal RNA". It matches the Rfam family "Bacterial small subunit ribosomal RNA", at positions 523 to 918 of the family's 1533-position model. The record is from RNAcentral.